CAGGACUGCAGAAGGUCAGGGAUGUAGGUGAUGGCAGGAGCUGACGGCCCGGAGUGAGAGUCCAUUCAAGCCUGGAGGCUAGGAAGCAUAGGGCUGCUAGGCUAGUAGGCCUCAUAGCAACACCAGGGCACCGAGUGGAGCUUUUCCAGGGUGGCCAGGCAGGUUAGCAGCUCUCUGGAGACACCAGGACACAGAACAGAGCUUCUCCAGGGACAACAGUAGCGUACCAAGUCUUUUAAGGCAACAGGCAGGACUAACCUUCAAUGAAA
Molecule: long non-coding RNA, 269 nt
Organism: Fundulus heteroclitus (mummichog)
Lineage: Eukaryota; Metazoa; Chordata; Actinopteri; Cyprinodontiformes; Fundulidae
Exons: 2
Source: RefSeq, a predicted model, not a curated record